CCUACGGGAGGCAGCAGUGGGGAAUAUUGCACAAUGGGGGAAACCCUGAUGCAGCGACGCCGCGUGAGUGAAGAAGUAAUUCGGGAUGUAAAGCUCUAUCAGCAGGGAAGAAAAUGACGGUACCUGAGUAAGAAGGCCCGGCUAACGACGUGCCAGCAGCCGCGGUAAUACGUAGGGGGCAAGCGUUAUCCGGAUUUACUGGGUGUAAAGCGGGCGUAGGGUGUUUCGUAAGUCGGGUGUGAAAGGCUCGGGCUCAACCGGCGGACGGCACAUGAUACGGCGAGACUAGAGUACUGGAGGGGUAACCGGAAUUCUCGGUGUAGCCGUGAACUGCGUAGAUAUCGCGAGGAACACUCGUGGCGAAGGCGGCUUCCUGGACAUUAACUGACGCUGAGGCACGAAGGCCCGGGGAGCGAACCGGAUUAGAUACCCCGGUAGUC
RNAcentral lists this ribosomal RNA (440 nucleotides) under uncultured bacterium. RNAcentral describes it as "partial 16S ribosomal RNA". It matches the Rfam family "Bacterial small subunit ribosomal RNA", at positions 338 to 795 of the family's 1533-position model. The record is from RNAcentral.